AGUGAACGCUGGCGGUAGGCCUAACACAUGCAAGUCGAACGGCAGCACAGUAAGAGCUUGCUCUUACGGGUGGCGAGUGGCGGACGGGUGAGGAAUACAUCGGAAUCUACUUUUUCGUGGGGGAUAACGUAGGGAAACUUACGCUAAUACCGCAUACGACCUACGGGUGAAAGCAGGGGAUCUUCGGACCUUGCGCGAUUGAAUGAGCCGAUGUCGGAUUAGCUAGUUGGCGGGGUAAAGGCCCACCAAGGCGACGAUCCGUAGCUGGUCUGAGAGGAUGAUCAGCCACACUGGAACUGAGACACGGUCCAGACUCCUACGGGAGGCAGCAGUGGGGAAUAUUGCACAAUGGGCGCAAGCCUGAUCCAGCCAUGCCGCGUGGGUGAAGAAGGCCUUCGGGUUGUAAAGCCCUUUUGUUGGGAAAGAAAAGCAGCAGGUUAAUACCCCGCUGUUCUGACGGUACCCAAAGAAUAAGCACCGGCUAACUUCGUG
Molecule: ribosomal RNA, 492 nt
Filed under: uncultured bacterium
Lineage: Bacteria
Description: partial 16S ribosomal RNA
Rfam family: Bacterial small subunit ribosomal RNA
Source: RNAcentral